GGGGCCUUUUCACAGAUUUUGGCAUUUUUUAACUUAUUCAUUAAAUGCUUUAUAUUGAUAAAUGUAAACAUUGGAUCGUAAAAGCUCCAGUAAAAAAUCAAGAAAAAAAAAUAAAAAAAGGAAAAGAACAUUGCCCGGAGCAGGUUUCGAACCAGUGACCCCUGGAGUCCUGCCAGAGUCCUGAAGUAAAAACGCUUUAGCCUACUGAGCUAUUCCGCCGAGUACACAUUCUUGACGUAUUUUAUACCUUAUAUAAGCAAUCUUCGUAGUUUCACAAAAUUUAACGACAAAAACAGAACUCUCCAAAUUAUUCAAUCGUUUCGCGUUGCAACGCUUUAUAAUUUUUAGGUUUUAAAAUCGUCAAAAGAUGCAUAUAAUGGCUAUAUUAGACCAUGGUAAAUGUUCAGUAUUACUGUU
Long non-coding RNA from Dreissena polymorpha, 417 nucleotides. RefSeq lists it as uncharacterized. Lineage: Eukaryota; Metazoa; Mollusca; Bivalvia; Myida; Dreissenidae. The transcript is spliced from 3 exons. The record is from RefSeq and is a predicted model, not a curated record.